GAUGAACGCUGGCGGCGUGCCUAAUACAUGCAAGUCGAGCGAACAGAUAAGGAGCUUGCUCCUUUGACGUUAGCGGCGGACGGGUGAGUAACACGUGGGUAACCUACCUAUAAGACUGGAAUAACUCCGGGAAACCGGUGCUAAUGCCGGAUAACAUUUAGAACCGCAUGGUUCUAAAGUGAAAGAUGGUUUUACUAUCACUUAUAGAUGGACCCGCGCCGUAUUAGCUAGUUGGUAAGGUAACGGCUUACCAAGGCAACGAUACGUAGCCGACCUGAGAGGGUGAUCGGCCACACUGGAACUGAGACACGGUCCAGACUCCUACGGGAGGCAGCAGUAGGGAAUCUUCCGCAAUGGGCGGAAGCCUGACGGAGCAACGCCGCGUGAGUGAUGAAGGUCUUCGGAUCGUAAAACUCUGUUAUUAGGGAAGAACAAAUGUGUAAGUAACUGUGCACGUCUUGACGGUACCUAAUCAGAAAGCCACGGCUAACUACGUG
This 497-nucleotide ribosomal RNA is filed under the name uncultured bacterium. RNAcentral's name for it is "partial 16S ribosomal RNA". It matches the Rfam family "Bacterial small subunit ribosomal RNA", at positions 28 to 507 of the family's 1533-position model. The record is from RNAcentral.